CUGCCGUCCUUUCUUUUCUCUUGCCUGUGCACGUGGAGGGCCACUCCUGCUUUCCUCGUUUGUGUCUCCGCGGCGCAUGCUUCUUUGCAACAUAGACGUACAUACACGCAUAAACCUCUAAGCACAUACACAUGUAUGCAUACACACCCAUACCCUCAUGUAUGUACAUCCAUGCACACACACACACACAACAAUGCACACCUCAGUCUCUUCCGUCUGCCAAGCUCUCUCAUAAUGCUCUGCGCAUGGGCGAUGGUGAAUGAGAGGACGCAGCUGCCGCCAAUGCGGAACGAGACAAGCAAAACAACUGCUCGUUUGUCCGGUAUCUGUGUUGCUGCCUUACUCUCUCGCGCGCCCACCCACCCCCUGCCCAUGUUCAUCGGUUUGUAUGUUCAUUUGUCUGUCUCCUCUGCUCCCGUGCCACCUCCUUCGCUGUCGCUCCUUGUUUCUCUGCUUCCAUCUUCUGCUGCUCCGCCCCACCGCGCCGAUUUGUGUGCUUGGGGAGGGGGAGGGAAGUGGAAGUGCGCACGAGCGCAACGUACGGCGACAACAAGCACGCCGAAUGAAAGAAAUGGUUAAAAGGCGCGACCGAAUGGAAAAAAAAAGACGGAGAGACAAAAAAAAGAAACACACACACACACACACAAAGGCAACGUGCCCACUCAACUGCAUCGAUCGCGCGCGUUUUGUACACGCAUGCGCAGUGCAUGUCAUCCUCUCGGUGCCGGCCGAUUGGGCGCACAAAGAGAGGUGGCAUGCACGCACAUAAAGAGCGAGUGCGUAUGUUGCGCCUCCCUUUCCUCUUCGCGCCACCGCCCGAUCGGAUUUUCUGUUUCCUGGCCCGACAUGCAAUCUUCUUCCUCUUCUUCCAAUGCUGCGCUCGCACUCUCCUUUUGUGCCAUUGUCUGCGUGUGGUGUGCACGGGUCAUGGUCAG
RNAcentral lists this unclassified non-coding RNA (935 nucleotides) under Leishmania donovani. Its description in RNAcentral is "gene:unknown". Lineage: Eukaryota; Euglenozoa; Kinetoplastea; Trypanosomatida; Trypanosomatidae. The record is from RNAcentral.